UAAUAGCAAUUCUCUGUAACCACCAACCAAGUUGCGGCACGCAUAGUCUCAGAUUUUCUUGAAACUUGGUCUGUUGGUAGCUAUCGAUAAUCUAACAAGAAAAAUGUUUACAAAAAAUUUGUUUAUGCCCCCGUUGCCAUGGUUACGGGUCCCCUUGGAUUUUGCCUCAAAAAUGCAUAUUUUGAGGAUAAAAAAUGACCCAUUUUAAGCAGUUAUUAUGCAUACAUUUCAAGUUUUAUGAAUAUUUUGACUAUAAUUCAUUAAAAUAUAACACUUUAUAAGUAAGAUGAAAGAUAAAAAUUAUUUCUGACAAAAGGGGAGGGAGGGGGCAGCACUGGUUCAAAUAGUGGAAUUUUCAAUGUAUUCAAAAAGGCCAAUUAUAGGCAUUUUGCAUGACAUAAUUUUACAUCCACAACCAAUUAUACUAAAGUGAUAAAUGUAAAUUAUGACUGUUGCCUAGGAUUAAUUUAUCAUUAAAGGUUUGGGAAAUAGGUUGCUAGGGUGGUUGCUAUGGGAACAUAAAAGUGUCAUUUUUGGUAUUUUGAAGAAAAAAUUUGACAUUGUUAUUUGAAUAGUUUAAAAACAGUGACAAAUACAAAAUAAAAAUCACUUGGGACAUGUUGUGCAUUCAAUGACCUAAAAGUUUACCUCAAGGUCAAAGUUGAUUUAUGACUUUGACUUUGACC
Molecule: long non-coding RNA, 686 nt
Filed under: Mytilus galloprovincialis (Mediterranean mussel)
Lineage: Eukaryota; Metazoa; Mollusca; Bivalvia; Mytilida; Mytilidae
Source: RNAcentral